GUAACGGUUCUUUUCAGAACCACAAUUUAUCUCAGAAAGAAAACG
Oryctes borbonicus is the source of this 45-nucleotide non-coding RNA. NCBI's taxonomy places the organism in Eukaryota, Metazoa, Arthropoda, Insecta, Coleoptera, Scarabaeidae. The record is from Rfam.